Molecule: ribosomal RNA, 253 nt
Filed under: uncultured bacterium
Lineage: Bacteria
Description: partial 16S ribosomal RNA
Rfam family: Bacterial small subunit ribosomal RNA
Source: RNAcentral
UACGGGGGGGGCAAGCGUUGUUCGGAAUUACUGGGCGUAAAGGGCUCGUAGGCGGCCAACUAAGUCGGAUGUGAAAUCCCCAGGCUCAACUUGGGAACUGCAUCCGAUACUGGAUGGCUUGAAUUCGGGAGAGGGAUGCAGAAUUCCAGGUGUAGCGGUGAAAUGCGUAGAUAUCUGGAGGAAUACCGGUGGCGAAGGCGGCAUCCUGGACCGACAUUGACGCUGAGGAGCGAAAGCGUGGGGAGCGAACAGG